AUUGAACGCUAGCGGCAUGCCUUACACAUGCAAGUCGAACGGUAACAGGUCUUCGGAUGCUGACGAGUGGCGAACGGGUGAGUAAUACAUCGGAACGUGCCUAGUAGUGGGGGAUAACUACUCGAAAGAGUGGCUAAUACCGCGUGUGAUCUACGGAUGAAAGCAGGGGAUCGCAAGACCUUGUGCUACUAGAGCGGCCGAUGGCAGAUUAGGUAGUUGGUGGGAUAAAAGCUUACCAAGCCGACGAUCUGUAGCUGGUCUGAGAGGGCGAUCAGCCACACUGGGACUGAGACACGGCCCAGACUCCUACGGGGGGCAGCAGUGGGGAAUUUUGGACAAUGGGCGAAAGCCUGAUCCAGCAAUGCCGCGUGCAGGAUGAAGGCCUUCGGGUUGUAAACUGCUUUUGUACGGAACGAAAAGCCCCGGGUUAAUACCCUGGGGUCAUGACGGUACCGUAAGAAUAAGCACCGGCUAACUACGUGCCAGCCGCCGCAGUAA
Molecule: ribosomal RNA, 498 nt
Filed under: uncultured bacterium
Lineage: Bacteria
Description: partial 16S ribosomal RNA
Rfam family: Bacterial small subunit ribosomal RNA
Source: RNAcentral